GACGAACGCUGGCGGCGUGCUUAACACAUGCAAGUCGAACGGAAAGGCCCUGCUUUUGUGGGGUGCUCGAGUGGCGAAAGGGGGAGUAACACGUGAGUAACCUGCCCUUGACUUUGGGAUAACUUCAGGAAACUGGGGCUAAUACCGGAUAGGAGCUCCUGCUGCAUGGUGGGGGGUGGGAAGUUUCGGCGGUUGGGGAUGGACUCGCGGCUUAUCAGCUUGUUGGUGGGGUAGUGGCUUACCAAGGCUUUGACGGGUAGCCGGCCUGAGAGGGUGACCGGCCACAUUGGGACUGAGAUACGGCCCAGACUCCUACGGGAGGCAGCAGUGGGGAAUAUUGCACAAUGGGCGGAAGCCUGAUGCAGCAACGCCGCGUGCGGGAUGACGGCCUUCGGGUUGUAAACCGCUUUCGCCUGUGACGAAGCGUGAGUGACGGUAAUGGGUAAAGAAGCACCGGCUAACUACGUG
This 468-nucleotide ribosomal RNA is filed under the name uncultured bacterium. RNAcentral describes it as "partial 16S ribosomal RNA". It matches the Rfam family "Bacterial small subunit ribosomal RNA", at positions 28 to 507 of the family's 1533-position model. The record is from RNAcentral.